Molecule: long non-coding RNA, 1932 nt
Filed under: Ornithorhynchus anatinus (platypus)
Lineage: Eukaryota; Metazoa; Chordata; Mammalia; Monotremata; Ornithorhynchidae
Description: lncRNA (ENSOANG00000048573.1)
Source: RNAcentral
ACGUCUGGACCAUCUCAUACCUUCCUUCUCCUCACAUCCUUGAAGAUUCACAUCAUUCUUCCUCUGCCACCCACCUCCACCUUGCCACCCUCCAAGACCCCCUCUGCAUUAGGGGAGGAAUUCAGCACCUUUGUUCCCUUCCUUAUCUCAGCCCCAUCACUGAUCCAUGGCGACUUCGACGUCCAUCUGGCCAUCCAGUUCAGCCCCCGGCUGCAUUUUCCAGGACCCCGUCUUACCAUCUGAUGUUCAGAAAGGAGGGUACCGAGAUGACGAGGCAACCACGAGGUCAGGCAGAGGGACACGGCACACACAGCAGCACAGCUAUUCCAAAGAUCUCAGCUCAGAGGGCACAGAAGCACCGAGAACGCCUUCAGAUCGAUCGGUGGAGGAAGCCUAGCACACCCCAUCCUCUGACCCACCCGCUCAAUUCAGGGGCGGCUUCCGGCGGCAAUCAAGCUCCAUCUACGCCUGCUGCCGUCUCGAUGCUUGCCAUCGCCGUCUUGGAGCCCUCAGCCAACUGGAAAAGGAGCAAGAAGCGAAACAACCACGGCAUCCGGUGCUGCUGUCUCAGCCACCCCAGCUGCUGGGCCUGGCCCUCCCCAGGGACCACUAAUGGUGGAAAUUAAGCUAGGAGCACAGGUGAGGCUGGAAAGGCCAAUGUGGGAUCCACAAUCCUGGCCUCACUGGGCACACAAAAAGGCUGUCCCCUGCCGGGUUGUUGUGCUUAAUAUUUGCAGCUCCUGGUAUCAUUUUCUAUUUUGCCUGCUCGUCUCUAGUUUCUUAGGAAGCUCUUUCUCAAAGACAGCUGCUUCUUUCUUUAUUGCGGAACACCUCGCCACUCUAUCCUUGACAUUUAGCUCCCACUUUUCAGCUGGGAUCAGUCAAUCGGUGUGAUUUACUGAGCACGGACAAUGUCCAGAGUACUGUACUAAGUACUUGGGAGAUUUCGCAGAACCGAAUUAACAGACAUCAUCCCUGCCCAUGAAGAGCUUACAGUCUAGGGGAUGCUGGGAUGCAGCAUCUCUGAGGCUUUGUUUUACCCUGUCAUUUAAUCGUUUCCUCUGCCCUCCUGGCUACUGGUUUCCUGAUUUCAGCUCUCUGUAUUGCAGCCUACAGGGAUCAUAAAGACAGAGACCAGAGUUUCUCUUCUUAUUUGCACCUGAUCUGCUCCAGGCGGAGGACUUGGCCUUUCAGGAAAGCCUGGGUCGUCUCCCGGCCCGUGAUCUAUCCACUAGGCCAUGAAUGAUUAAAGGGAAGUUCCGAAAAAAGGCAAUAUUGAUUUUUCACCUCUCUAAGGUCCAAACCAAGGUGGUAAUAUUACUAUUUGGUAAGCCCUGACUUUGUAGUAAGAGCCGGUGAGUUAUAAUAAAAGCAGAUCAGACACAAUCCCCUUCCCACGUGAGGCUCACAGACUAAGGGGAAAUGAGAACAGAUGAGGAACCUGAGGCCAGAGGUGUUUACUGUUUGCAGGGCACUGACUUAGGUGCUUGGGAGAAUACAAUACAAAGCACAGAGCAAGGAUUAGAAUCCAAGGUCUCUGACUCCCAGGCCUGCACUCUUGCCAGAGGCCAUAUUGCUUCAGUGAGGCGUGUGGUUACAUGCGGAAGAUCUUUAUUUCUAUCGUAAACUCCACGAGGGCCAGGAACAAGUGUUCUGUUACUCUGAUACUCUACCCAGGGCUUUGCGAAGAUGAUGAUGACGACGAACUCCCCUGUCAGGAAUGACAGACGAACUUCUGUCCUGAGACUUCAGCACCCUGAGCCUAUUCAGAGGAAUGGAUUCUAGUACGCCUCGUUUGGGCAUCACCUCUCUUGUCUCUGCCAGUCAUAUCCUUGCUGGGGCCUGGAGUGCAGUGAGCCAGUAGGUGGGCAGGAGUGCAGCGUGCUGCAAAGCAAACACAAUUGUUUUUUACACAGAGGACCCAUUUGCAGC